RNAcentral lists this ribosomal RNA (253 nucleotides) under uncultured bacterium. Its description in RNAcentral is "partial 16S ribosomal RNA". It matches the Rfam family "Bacterial small subunit ribosomal RNA", at positions 524 to 776 of the family's 1533-position model. The record is from RNAcentral.
UACGAAGGGUGCAAGCGUUACUCGGAAUUACUGGGCGUAAAGCGUGCGUAGGUGGUUCGUUAAGUCUGAUGUGAAAGCCCCAGGCUCAACCUGGGAAGUGCACUCGAUACUGCGUAGCUUGAGUAUCGGAGAGGUUGGUGGAAUUCUCGGUGUAGAGGUGAAAUUCGUAGAUAUCAGGAGGAACACCGGUGGCGAAGGCGGUUCUCUGGGCAUUACCUGACGCUGAGGAGCGAAAGUGUGGGGAGCGAACAGG